UGGGACUGCCGGUGACAAACCGGAGGAAGUGGGGAUGACGUCAAGUCCUCAUUGGCCCUUAUAGGUGGGGCUACACACGUCAUACAAUGGACCGGUACAGAGGGUAGCCAACCCGCGAGGGGAGCCAAUCCCACAAAGCCGGUCGUAGUCCGGAUCGCAGUCUGCAACUCGACUGCGUGAAGUCGGAAUCGCUAGUAAUCGCGGAUCAGCAUGUCGCGGUGAAUACGUUCCCGGGUCCUU
This 240-nucleotide ribosomal RNA is filed under the name uncultured Allobrachymonas sp. Its description in RNAcentral is "uncultured Brachymonas sp. partial 16S ribosomal RNA". It matches the Rfam family "Bacterial small subunit ribosomal RNA", at positions 1144 to 1382 of the family's 1533-position model. Lineage: Bacteria; Pseudomonadati; Pseudomonadota; Betaproteobacteria; Burkholderiales; Comamonadaceae. The record is from RNAcentral.